UAAAACUGCAGUUAUUUUUGC
RNAcentral lists this microRNA (21 nucleotides) under Homo sapiens (human). RNAcentral describes it as "hsa-miR-548ar-3p". Its record names the gene hsa-miR-548ar-3p. The record is from miRBase by way of RNAcentral. Lineage: Eukaryota; Metazoa; Chordata; Mammalia; Primates; Hominidae.